This 425-nucleotide ribosomal RNA is filed under the name bacterium. Its description in RNAcentral is "partial 16S ribosomal RNA". It matches the Rfam family "Bacterial small subunit ribosomal RNA", at positions 355 to 776 of the family's 1533-position model. The record is from RNAcentral.
UGGGGAAUAUUGCACAAUGGGCGCAAGCCUGAUGCAGCGACGCCGCGUGAGGGAUGGAGGCCUUCGGGUUGUAAACCUCUUUCGCCAGUGAAGCAGGCCAUCUUCUUUGUGGGGUGGUUGACGGUAGCUGGAUAAGAAGCGCCGGCUAACUACGUGCCAGCAGCCGCGGUAAUAAGUAGGGCGCGAGCGUUGUCCGGAAUUAUUGGGCGUAAAGAGCGCGUAGGCGGCUGGUCGCGUCUGUCGUGAAAUCCCCUGGCUUAACUGGGGGCUUGCGGUGGGUACGGGCCGGCUUGAGUGCGGUAGGGGAGACUGGAAUUCCUGGUGUAGCGGUGGAAUGCGCAGAUAUCAGGAGGAACACCGGUGGCGAAGGCGGGUCUCUGGGCCGUUACUGACGCUGAGGAGCGAAAGCGUGGGGAGCGAACAGG